GAUGAACGCUGGCGGCGUGCCUAAUACAUGCAAGUCGAGCGAACAGACGAGGAGCUUGCUCCUCUGACGUUAGCGGCGGACGGGUGAGUAACACGUGGAUAACCUACCUAUAAGACUGGGAUAACUUCGGGUAACCGGAGCUAAUACCGGAUAAUAUAUUGAACCGCAUGGUUCAAUAGUGAAAGACGGUUUUGCUGUCACUUAUAGAUGGAUCCGCGCCGCAUUAGCUAGUUGGUAAGGUAACGGCUUACCAAGGCAACGAUGCGUAGCCGACCUGAGAGGGUGAUCGGCCACACUGGAACUGAGACACGGUCCAGACUCCUACGGGAGGCAGCAGUAGGGAAUCUUCCGCAAUGGGCGAAAGCUUGACGGAGCAACGCCGCGUGAGUGAUGAAGGUCUUCGGAUCGUAAAACUCUGUUAUUAGGGAAGAACAAAUGUGUAAGUAACUAUGCACGUCUUGACGGUACCUAAUCAGAAAGCCACGGCUAACUACGUG
Molecule: ribosomal RNA, 497 nt
Filed under: uncultured bacterium
Lineage: Bacteria
Description: partial 16S ribosomal RNA
Rfam family: Bacterial small subunit ribosomal RNA
Source: RNAcentral